GAUGAAGAACGUAGCGAAAUGCGAUACGUAAUGUGAAUUGCAGAUCUCUCAGUGAACCAUCGAAUUUUUGAACGCACAUAGCGCCCGCCGGUCAUUCCGGCGGGCAUGCCUGUCCGAGCGUCGAUGACGCCGCUCGAGCCCCCGUGCUCGGUGUUGGGGCGCUAGGUCUCCCAGAGGCCUAGGCCCCCAAGUAGCAGUGCGCGGUCCGGCUGCGGGCCCCGGGUACAGUAACUUCACUGUUGAGAUGCCCUGGGAGCCGCUGGCUGGGUCAGCCGCAAAACCCCCGACAUAGGCCUUCCUGUCCGCCCCCGGCGGGGAGGGAGACCGCCUAAUGUUGACCUCGGAUCAGGUAGGACUACCCGCUGAACUUAAGCAUAUCAAUAAGCGGAGGA
Molecule: unclassified non-coding RNA, 392 nt
Filed under: soil metagenome
Description: partial contains 5.8S ribosomal RNA, internal transcribed spacer 2, and large subunit ribosomal RNA
Rfam family: 5.8S ribosomal RNA (bases 1-123)
Source: RNAcentral